AGUGAGGUUAUAAACGAGACCAUAUGGAAGAAAAGAGCAUUUGAGAAAUUCGUCAGUACUUCUAUAAUGUCGGAAUAAUAGAAAGGAAUUAUGUAAAGAAUAUAUGCUUGUGAAUAGUUUAUUUACCAAGAGAUACUUCGGAACACAAUAUAAGUUACCUGAAUAGUAAAAGUACCUUUUGAAUGAGUGACAUAAAAAAGCGAAGAAAAAUUAAAAUCGAUCAUCAGUUAAGAGAAAAUAUAGAGGGUCUUCGAACAUUUUUGGAAUUUUUAUAAGUUGGCUGAGAAGGGACCUACACAAGAACGAAACAUGUACAAAAAAAAUACAGGUACAUGUAUCAACUAAAAAUUGAAUAAAUUUACAAUGAAGAUUGCCUUGUGUUGUGUGUAUGAACUAUAUGGUGUUCAAAAACGAC
Long non-coding RNA from Centruroides sculpturatus (bark scorpion), 415 nucleotides. RefSeq lists it as uncharacterized. Lineage: Eukaryota; Metazoa; Arthropoda; Arachnida; Scorpiones; Buthidae. The record is from RefSeq and is a predicted model, not a curated record. The transcript is spliced from 3 exons.